Long non-coding RNA from Armigeres subalbatus, 1595 nucleotides. RefSeq lists it as uncharacterized. Lineage: Eukaryota; Metazoa; Arthropoda; Insecta; Diptera; Culicidae. The transcript is spliced from 3 exons. The record is from RefSeq and is a predicted model, not a curated record.
CAGAAGCGAAAUUUUAAAAGAAAACGAAUAUCAGAAGUGACAGCCAAGAUCCUAGGCCAACUUCAACAAAACUGGCGGAAGAACUACCGGAAGAAAUAAAUACAUCCUGCUGCACAAUCGGGAUCUGAGAAGCCCAAGCCCUCGUACUUCGACCAUGAUUGAAACGAAUUCGAUCCGCCGGUGGGAAGACACUGCGACGAUGAUGAUCCUAGAGGUGCAUUUCCGACGAGAGUUCAGAAUAUUUAUGGGUACUUGGUUCACUCAUAUAUGGGUAAAUUCAAUUGUGUCAAUAUUAUUAGUAGAAUUUACCCAAAAAAUUGGUAAAAUUGACUGAUAUUCUGAACAAAACUGACUUUACCUACAUUUGAGUAAUUGACUUCACCCAUAUUUGGGUGAAAAAAUUAACACAAACAAUAUUUCUGAAGUGAUGGCCACGCGCGUCAAUGUUGCAAAAUUUCUUAAAUUUCUCAAUUUUUAUUUAUCUUUAAUUCAAAUUCAAAAACCGCUGAUGAAGUUCCGAGUGCAGUUCUUCACACAUGAAGAUAUAUGGAGAUUGCAACUUCCCGACGAUCUGUUCCAGUCCCGAUUAGCAGCGCCAUAUCGACCUCCUUGCAGGUGACGAUCGACGAAGGCAGAUGGCAAGAACGGGCACUAGUUCCAGGGGAAGAACUUCUGCUCAGACGAGUAUCACCCCAAACUACUUGCUUCGGCAUCGAUCUUCCUCCAGCAACCCAGAUGAACCCGUUUCAAAAAAGCUUCAAGCGAACGCAAAAACCGGAUGAUACCUCGCCUUGUUGUUUCCGAUCGUCAGCUUUGAAGUGGCCGCGAUGGCGAAAAGAACAGCAACAGAUCGAAUUAAGUGCCAAAGGAGAAGGAAAAAUCGAAACGACGGUGCCGACGGAGCAACCUGAGCGCGGAAGGGGAUGUUGUUGCUUUUUGUAUAUUCAGCUAAGCUUGAACACACGCCAGGAAAAAUUAAGUCUCCAGCCGCCAGACUAUUUUGAUCCUAUUUUUCCGGCAAAUCCCCGUCAUCGUCAUCUUCAUCAUCGACGUUGUCAUCGGUAUGAUUGGCCUGAAACUAUGAACACAAAGACCGGACCCAACAAUAGGCCAUCUCAUUGCGAAAGCGGUCUCCUCCGUAUUGAGUGGGGGAAACAAUAAUCCGCAUGAUGGCCUCGUCGUCGGUCGGCUCGGCUCUUCAAGUUUGCCCGAAAGUAUUUACCUUUUUGCAGGAUAAAAGAACUAAUUUGUUUUGCUAUCAACUGGUGUUGCUGUUGAAUUAACACCCGGACUGCAGAUUAUUUUGAAUAAUUUGAUCUUGUUGCGGUUUGUCGCAACCAACAACAUAUUUGUCUGGAACAAGCUGUCACCAGUUCCGGAAUGGCAUGCCGUAAAACUUUAUCAUCAGUUAUAACUAGUGUGUGUACCAAUGCUUGCUGAGAUUACGUGCAUUUCAACAUACUGACCCAAAGCGGCUGCUUAAGGAUGUUCCUGCCGUCCAAGAUUACUUCCAUCUGUUCCUGCUGUUGAUAAUCCAGCAAAAGUGCAACAUGAUUAUUUAAUUUAUGUAAUUCAAUUGUAUGUUUUAUAAAAAA